GCCUACGGGGCGCAGCAGUGAGGAAUAUUGGUCAAUGGGGGCAACCCUGAACCAGCCAUGCCGCGUGAAGGAAGACGGUUCUAAGAAUUGUAAACUUCUUUUGUACGGGGGUAAAGACAGAUACGUGUAUUUGUUUGAAAGUACUGUACGAAUAAGCAUCGGCUAACUCCGUGCCAGCAGCCGCGGUAAUACGGAGGAUGCGAGCGUUAUCCGGAUUUAUUGGGUUUAAAGGGUGCGUAGGCGGAUUUAUAAGUCAGCGGUGAAAGACUGUCGCUCAACGAUAGCAUUGCCAUUGAUACUGUAGAUCUUGAGUACAUUUGAGGUAGGCGGAAUGUGUAGUGUAGCGGUGAAAUGCUUAGAUAUUACACAGAACACCAAUUGCGAAGGCAGCUUACUAAACUGUAACUGACGCUGAGGCACGAAAGCGUGGGGAUCAAACAGGAUUAGAUACCCCGGUAGC
This 460-nucleotide ribosomal RNA is filed under the name uncultured bacterium. RNAcentral's name for it is "bacterial SSU rRNA". It matches the Rfam family "Bacterial small subunit ribosomal RNA", at positions 337 to 794 of the family's 1533-position model. The record is from RNAcentral.